AUGGAGGUUCCGGAAGAUCGUAGAGUUCCUUUGGUCGCAUACAAGCUGAAAGGAGGAGCCGGUGCAUGGUGGCAUCGCGUUCAAGAAGAGCGCAGGCUGAGAGGAGAACCUCGUCUGAGAACUUGGCGGCAAAUGAAAAGUCUCUUGAAAGGGAGAUUUUUGCCCGCUGAUUAUGACCAGAUCCUAUUUAUCCAAUUUCAAAAUUGUGCUCAAGGAAAUAUGACUGUUUCAGAUUACAUGGAGGAGUUUCUAAGGCUACAAGUGAGGUACAAGCUUGCUGAAACUGAAGAUCAGCAAGUUGCAAGGUACAUCAAUGGUCUCAAUGAUGUUAUUCAAGAUCAAUUGAUGGUGCAACAAAUCUGGUCCGUUGAUCAAGCACAAGCUCUAGCCUUAAAGGCCGAGAGGCUUGUGAGGAUGAGAAAGACAACUAAGGCUCCAUAUCCUCCAUAUCCUCAUACCAAAGGCUCAUCUAGGAGCCAACCUAAUAGAGUGAAAGAAAAUAACACUCCACCAAAGAAGGCCCAUCCCGAAGCAAACUAA
RNAcentral lists this ribosomal RNA (540 nucleotides) under Triticum aestivum (bread wheat). RNAcentral's name for it is "partial small subunit ribosomal RNA". The record is from RNAcentral. Lineage: Eukaryota; Viridiplantae; Streptophyta; Magnoliopsida; Poales; Poaceae.